RNAcentral lists this non-coding RNA (86 nucleotides) under Paenibacillus ferrarius. RNAcentral's name for it is "c-di-GMP sequence". It matches the Rfam family "c-di-GMP-I riboswitch aptamer". From Rfam's summary of the family: GEMM was predicted in a large-scale screen for bacterial structured RNA regulatory elements. Genes associated with GEMM are involved in a diverse array of functions, including chemotaxis regulation, signal transduction, secretion and chitin. Lineage: Bacteria; Bacillati; Bacillota; Bacilli; Caryophanales; Paenibacillaceae. The record is from Rfam by way of RNAcentral.
UCGCGAUAAUAGCAAACCUGCCGCAAAGGCAGCGACGCAAAACUACAGGGCCUAAGGGUGAAUACCUAUGGCAGCCAGUUACCGAA